RNAcentral lists this long non-coding RNA (203 nucleotides) under Elaeis guineensis (African oil palm). RNAcentral's name for it is "long non-coding RNA (EGUI_LNC008709)". Lineage: Eukaryota; Viridiplantae; Streptophyta; Magnoliopsida; Arecales; Arecaceae. The record is from RNAcentral.
CUAGCUGAUGCCUUUGUAGAGAGGGGAAGUGGCUCUCUUGUAGCCUACACCAUGUAGCUAUUCUGGACAGCAAGAAACGAAUGGUUGUUUCAAGCUAUUAUGUUUAUAUAGACUUUUGCAGCUAGUAAGAAAAGCGUUAUGUUUUCUUGCUGACCUAAAUCUAAUUAACGAUCGACCAAGUUGGCCUCAACACACAGUCAAUG